AUGGAUAUAUAUAACCUCCUUUGGGAGGUAUUAGAAUUUUAUUUGCCGGUUUUAGAUAGAUUCCGCCUCUCCACCUGAAAUUUGUUACUUUGCAAGAGCUUUUUCCUCCCACAAACCACAACGGAACUCAAAUUAAAGCAAAAGAGGAGGAGAGGAUGCAAACCAGGAACCGAAAACAUCAAUGGACUUGAAGCACUUUACAAGGGGAAAUAUUAUUAUUAUUCUUAGGCUGCAGUUAUAGACACACUGUUUUUAUAUCUAUCCCUCCCAACAACCACUCUGUGUGGUAAGUGGGGCUGAGAGACUUCAGAGAAGUGUGACUGGCCCAAGGUCACCCAGCAGCUGCAUGUGGAGGAGCGGAGAUGCAAACCCGGUUCACCAGAUUACGAGUCUACCACUCUUAACCACUACACCACACUGGCUCUCCAGUCAACACAUUUGUUUUUGAGUAAAUAUGUUAUAGGAUUGGCCUCCACAGAAUUGCAGGACUAAUCGCCACAGAUAGCACACUGAAACUCAAAGAGUGACUUUGCCACUGAGACCAUCCCUGGCUGAGAUGAGAGAUGAGCUUUUUUUCGAGCACAACUUUCUACCACUUUAGUAAGACCAUCAGUGAGAGAGGAAGCAGAAGUCAGACAUUAUCAUUCCUGGAUAUAGCCUCCUGCCUGCUAGCCAUCAACUGCCAUCACCGUCUGCUGGGAGAGGAAGUUGCAGCUUUUCCAUUGUUCCUUGACCUGCUGAUGGAGGUUUUUCCCCUUCUCCUUCCCAAUCCAUUUCCUUUUGUGCUGCCUUUUGAGACUGUAAACGUGAAGGUGGGGACUGUUUUAUUUCUGACCUUUGUAAGCAGCCCAGGGAGUCUUUUGUAACUUGAAAAGUGAGGCAAAAAUGCUCUUUUUUUUUAAAAAAAGGAACAAGCCUAGCCCCCAUUCAUUUUGUGUAAUGGCGAUUGCCCCAUAUUGCAUCAGUUUAUUUCAUAAGAAUGCGGUUUUUUGGAUGACGUACUUCUUUUUCUCAGUCCUAAGCUUACUCUCUGUUUGUAUUGUUGGGUGACCCUGCAUUGUACAACAACAACAAUUUAUUACUUAUACCCCGCCCAUCUGGCUGGGCCUCCCCAGCCACUCUGGGCG
Molecule: non-coding RNA, 1127 nt
Organism: Podarcis muralis (Common wall lizard)
Lineage: Eukaryota; Metazoa; Chordata; Lepidosauria; Squamata; Lacertidae
Source: RefSeq, a predicted model, not a curated record